CACACGAGUUUGAUCCUGGCUCAGAUUGAACGCUGGCGGCAUGCCUUACACAUGCAAGUCGAACGGCAGCACGGGAGCAAUCCUGGUGGCGAGUGGCGAACGGGUGAGUAAUAUAUCGGAACGUGCCCAGUAGUGGGGGAUAACCCGGCGAAAGCCGGACUAAUACCGCAUACGACCUACGGGUGAAAGCAGGGGAUCGCAAGACCUUGCGCUAUCGGAGCGGCCGAUAUCAGAUUAGCUUGUUGGUGGGGUAAAAGCCUACCAAGGCGACGAUCUGUAGCUGGUCUGAGAGGACGACCAGCCACACUGGGACUGAGACACGGCCCAGACUCCUACGGGAGGCAGCAGUGGGGAAUUUUGGACAAUGGGCGCGAGCCUGAUCCAGCCAUGCCGCGUGCGGGAAGAAGGCCUUCGGGUUGUAAACCGCUUUUGUCAGGGAAGAAACGGCUCGGGCUAAUACCUCGGGCUAAUGACGGUACCUGAAGAAUAAGCACCGGCUAACUACGUG
Molecule: ribosomal RNA, 508 nt
Filed under: uncultured bacterium
Lineage: Bacteria
Description: bacterial SSU rRNA
Rfam family: Bacterial small subunit ribosomal RNA
Source: RNAcentral